Molecule: long non-coding RNA, 603 nt
Organism: Amphimedon queenslandica
Lineage: Eukaryota; Metazoa; Porifera; Demospongiae; Haplosclerida; Niphatidae
Exons: 2
Source: RefSeq, a predicted model, not a curated record
CCUUUCAGUAGCACCUUUUGUAGUAUUGUAACUCAUUUUUGCUGAAAUGGAAUUUUCCCAAACAGACUAGACUCCAAUUGACUUUGCUCUACUUAUACAGCUGCACUUCACUCAAAGGUGUGUACACAUUAUAGCUAACCAAUCACAAUGUAAUGAAUAGGAUGUUUAAAAAAAAACAAUCAAAUUUAUGUACUAAAAUAGUCCAUAGUAUUUGACAACCAACUUUUUAUGAAAAUGAGUGAACAAGCAAACAUUUUCAAAGGCGGGGUCACAAAUAGACUACCUACAUCUAUAGAUAAUCUAUUAUACAGAACAACAGUAAUGAAUGCAGCUGGUCAGUGAAAGUGCAACAUAUGAAAUAGCAGUUAUCACAACACCACCAACUAUCAUUCCACCAAUAUUAAAGACCAUUGAUACGCAGCGACUGUUUUCUGCAGCAACAGCAUCUCCACGAAGGUCUUCAUCCUUUGACUUAAAUGAAGAAUAAUAAUACAAUGCAAUAUGAACAAUUGAAAAAUUUACAAUUUCAUAAGAAAUUGAAAUUGCUAUUUAUCACUAUAUAGCUGUAUUUAAUAACAAUACAGGCUUCAACACAAACUGCAA